CUAAUGGAUCAUCCGAACAGGUCAUCCCCAUCCUUGGACUGAAACUGUACUUUGCUCAUUAAUGAUAAACUAUGUCUGACAAAAAAAGUGCAACUUGUGGCGAGCAGCAACAGCUGAACCCUUUCCUGACGAUUACUUUACAGUGAAGCAACCAGAGACUUUUUAAGUCUGUGCACACUUCUGGGAGCUUCCCCACAUUCCUUGUUCAUAUCUCCUCAACGUUCUUCUUCUUCACUUGGGACCUCGCUCUUCAAUGGACACUACUACUCACUAGCUAACAGAGCUGGAGCUAUUGAAAAAAUCCAAAUGGUCGAAAGUGAUCUCGACCACCUCAAGCAAGAAAUGUCCCAGGUCACCAGCCACCGCCGAAUCGCCAGCUCCGGUACUCCGCAGCCCAAAACGAGCGGCAGUGCCAGUCGGCUGCCGUCGACUUUUAACUUGAGUGAUGCUCAGUAUCUCAACAUAUUGCAGUCGAUUGGGCAGUCUGUGCAUGCAAUGGAUCGUAGUGGUCGUAUAAUCUACUGGAACAGAAGUGCUGAAAAACUGUAUGGUUAUUCUCCGGAAGAGGCCCUUGGACAGGUUUCCAUUAAGCUCAUAGUAGAUUCCCGGGACUUUGGUGUAGCAUAUAAUAUAGUCCACCGUGUCAUCCACGGGGAGAGUUGGACUGGGCAGUUCCCUGUAAAGCACAAAUCGGGGGCGAGGUUUUCAGUCAUUACAACAAAUACUCCAUUCUAUGAUGAUGCUGGCAGUUUAAUUGGGGUUGUUGCUACAUCAACUGAUUCUCAGCCCUUUUAUGAAAUGAGGGUUCCAAUGUCAGCUGAGAAGCAACCACAACAAGAUCUAAGCUUCAGCAGUCGUGGGGCUAGUGUUACAACUAAAUUCGGUGCUGAUCCUCAGCAGCCUCUGCGAAAAGCGGUUUUGUCAAAACUAACAGACUUGGCAUCGAAGAUGAGUUUCAAAGUCAAGUCAAAAAUUCAGGCAAGAGAAAACAACAUGGAUCCCAAAGGUGACAGCGAAGAUAGUCAUCAUCCGUUUCAUGGUUCAGAUUCUGUCACAUCUGCCAAUAGGGAGGAUGGGAAUGCAAGUGGGACUAGCACAGCUACAGGAACUAUACCCCCAGCAACUCCUUUUGGUGUAUUUAACCAUGUUGAGAGCAAGCCUCUAGGAGAACCCUCCAUAGACUCUGCCAGUGAGAGCAAAGAAAAAUCUUCAAUUCACAAGCUAAUUGCCUCAAAGGCAGAAGCAUGGAUUAGUAAGCAGGAGAUAUCAUGGCCUUGGAAAGGAAAUGAGCGAGAUGGGUCAGUGGCUAGGGCCAGUGGUUUUGUUUGGCCCUGGUUUCAUAAUGAUCAAGUCAAUUUUGCCAUUCCUCAGAAGAGUUAUUGUGUCUCAGAACCAGAAAUUCAGGUGAGCGAAAGUAAUCGGCCAACAAAUAAUAAUGAUGAGACUCAAGGAUCCUGGACCUCUCCAUUGGAUAUUAACAGCAUAAGCCGUGCCAUCAGCCUUAGAAGGACCAGUAGUGCUUUGCCUACGGUGGAUGUGGACACUGAUUGCUUGGAUUAUGAAAUCUUAUGGGAAGACAUGAUAAUUGGAAGACAGAUUGGGCAAGGUUCAUGUGGAACUGUAUACCAUGGUCAGUGGGAUGGAUCAGAUGUUGCCGUUAAGGUAUUCUCCAAGUUAGAAUAUCCGGAUGAUUUGUUACUUUCCUUCAAACAAGAGGUAUCUCUAAUGAAAAGGCUUCGACAUCCAAAUGUUUUGCUUUUCAUGGGAGCGGUGACUUCACCUGAGCGUCUCUGCAUUGUCACAGAGUUCCUCCCACGUGGAAGUUUGUAUCAAAUACUACAGAGGAACCCAUCAAAACUAGACUGGAGACGACGUAUUAAUAUGGCUAUGGAUAUAGCAUGGGGCAUGAAUUAUCUUCACCAUUUCAACCCACCAAUCAUUCAUCGAGACUUAAAGUCUUCAAAUCUCCUAGUUGAUAAGAACUGGACUGUCAAGGUUGGCGAUUUUGGUCUUUCACGUUUUAAGCAUGAAACUUUUCUUAUAAACAAGAGUGGCAGGGGAACGCCUCAAUGGAUGUCACCAGAAUUUCUACGUAGUGAACCCUCGGAUGAGAAGUCUGACAUAUAUAGCUACGGGGUGAUAUUGUGGGAGCUUGCUACUGAGAAGAUUCCUUGGGAUAAUCUAAACCCAAUGCAGGUGAUUGGAGCUGUUGGAUUCAUGAACCAAAGACUGGAGAUCCCAAAAGAUGUGGACCCAAAGUGGGCUUCUAUAAUGGAGAGUUGCUGGCACAGUGAUCCAGCUAGCCGGCCAACAUUUCUAGAACUGCUCGAAAAGCUUAGAGUGUUGCAUAGACAAUAUAAUCUCCAGUUCAAGGCAGCGCGUUCCGCCUCUAGUGAGAGCACCCAAAAGGAAUUGUAAUCACCAGGCCACGUUUUUGUUCAUUGGGUUUCAUUAUUUCAUUCACCACAUUGGUAGAUGAAGCAGCCACUCUCAGAUACUUCCACAGUUCCACCUGGUAUUGAAAAGUGGUAAUGUUCUAUAGCAGUCGAUAGAGGACUCAGCUCAGGAGGGCCAAGCCUGGAGCAUGUGAAGGAAGAUUCUAAAAAAGCUCAUGAAUGGCGAAGUCCAAUAUAUCAGAGAAGAAGGAUGUUAUUGGAGCUUCCUGUCGCUCCA
RNA transcript from Rosa rugosa (rugosa rose), 2673 nucleotides. It is a transcript of the gene named serine/threonine-protein kinase STY46-like, with no coding region annotated. NCBI's taxonomy places the organism in Eukaryota, Viridiplantae, Streptophyta, Magnoliopsida, Rosales, Rosaceae. The transcript has 14 exons. The record is from RefSeq and is a predicted model, not a curated record.